This 504-nucleotide ribosomal RNA is filed under the name Triticum aestivum (bread wheat). Its description in RNAcentral is "partial small subunit ribosomal RNA". Lineage: Eukaryota; Viridiplantae; Streptophyta; Magnoliopsida; Poales; Poaceae. The record is from RNAcentral.
AUGACAGAUGCAUGGACCAACAAAAGAGGAAGGGGGGUAAUGAAUUUGGUAGUUCACAGCGCUUAUGGUGUUGUUUUUCUUAAAUCUGUUGACUGUUCGGAUGUGAGAAAAGAUGGCAAGAUGAUAUUUGAGCUUGUUGAUGGCUGCGUAGAAGAAAUUGGAGAGAAAAAUGUAAUUCAAAUUGUAACUGACAAUGCAUCUGUCAAUAUAUCAGCAGCAGCGAUGAUGAAAGUGAAGCGCCCCUCCUUAUUUUGGAAUGGUUAUGCAGCCCACACAAUUGAUUUGAUGCUGGAGGACAUAGGCAAGCUACCUACAGUUGAGCAAACCAUUGUCAAAGCAAGGGCUGUGACUCUGUUCCUUUAUGCACAUACAAGAGUUUUAGCUCUGAUGAGGAAAUUUCUUGGAAAAGAUCUUGUUCGUUCUGGUAUUACUAGGUUUGCUACAGCAUAUUUGAACUUGAAGAGCUUGCAGGACAACAAAAAAGGAGCUGCAGAAGUUGUUUAG